Molecule: transfer RNA, 72 nt
Filed under: Deltaproteobacteria bacterium
Lineage: Bacteria; Pseudomonadati; Myxococcota; Myxococcia
Description: tRNA-Pro
Rfam family: tRNA
About the family: Transfer RNA (tRNA) molecules are approximately 80 nucleotides in length. Their secondary structure includes four short double-helical elements and three loops (D, anti-codon, and T loops).
Source: RNAcentral
CUGGGUAUAGUUCAGCAGCAGAACGCGUGCUCGGGGAGCACGAGGCCGUUGGUGCGAUUCCAACUAUCCAGA